AGUGUAACAUUAGUAAUGGGUUCUCACAAGCUUGUGCCACCCGUAAUAUGUAAAAUGAUAGGACUAUGACCGGAAAUCGAUGUUGCGGACAAUGGUGCAAAAUGUGAGAGCAUGUGAUACGAGAUAAUAAAAGAGCUUAGAGCU
Molecule: non-coding RNA, 144 nt
Organism: Caenorhabditis elegans
Lineage: Eukaryota; Metazoa; Nematoda; Chromadorea; Rhabditida; Rhabditidae
Source: Ensembl